Molecule: ribosomal RNA, 492 nt
Filed under: uncultured bacterium
Lineage: Bacteria
Description: partial 16S ribosomal RNA
Rfam family: Bacterial small subunit ribosomal RNA
Source: RNAcentral
AGUGAACGCUGGCGGUAGGCCUAACACAUGCAAGUCGAACGGCAGCACAGUAAGAGCUUGCUCUUACGGGUGGCGAGUGGCGGACGAGUGAGGAAUACAUCGGAAUCUACUUUUUCGUGGGGGAUAACGUAGGGAAACUUACGCUAAUACCGCAUACGACCUACGGGUGAAAGCAGGGGAUCUUCGGACCUUGCGCGAUUGAAUGAGCCGAUGUCGGAUUAGCUAGUUGGCGGGGUAAAGGCCCACCAAGGCGACGAUCCGUAGCUGGUCUGAGAGGAUGAUCAGCCACACUGGAACUGAGACACGGUCCAGACUCCUACGGGAGGCAGCAGUGGGGAAUAUUGGACAAUGGGCGCAAGCCUGAACCAGCCAUACCGCGUGGGUGAAGAAGGCCUUCGGGUUGUAAAGCCCUUUUGUUGGGAAAGAAAAGCAGCAGGUUAAUACCCCGCUGUUCUGACGGUACCCAAAGAAUAAGCACCGGCUAACUUCGUG